UAAGACGAACCGUGCAAACGUUAUUCGGAAUCACUGGGCAUAAAGGGCGCGUAGGCGGCUUUCUAAGUCAGGGGUGAAAUCCGGCAGCUCAACUGUCGCAGUGCCUUUGAUACUGGAAAGCUCGAGGGAUGUAGGGGUCUGUGGAACUUCCGGUGGAGCGGUGAAAUGCGUUGAUAUCGGAAGGAACGCCGGUGGCGAAAGCGACGGACUGGACAUCUUCUGACGCUGAGGCGCGAAAGCCAGGGGAGCAAACGGGAUUAGAUACCCCGGUAGUCCUGGCCCUAAACGAUGGGUACUAGAUUGCGGACUUACAUGGGUUCGCAGUCGAAGCUAAUGUUUUAAGUACCCCGCCUGGGGAGUAUGGUCGCAAGGCUG
RNAcentral lists this ribosomal RNA (375 nucleotides) under uncultured bacterium. Its description in RNAcentral is "bacterial SSU rRNA". It matches the Rfam family "Bacterial small subunit ribosomal RNA", at positions 521 to 896 of the family's 1533-position model. The record is from RNAcentral.